RNAcentral lists this long non-coding RNA (203 nucleotides) under Mytilus galloprovincialis (Mediterranean mussel). The record is from RNAcentral. Lineage: Eukaryota; Metazoa; Mollusca; Bivalvia; Mytilida; Mytilidae.
CACACACUCUUCUUUUUUAAUUCGAAUUGAUUCGAAUUGGCUAAUUCGAAUUAUCCAAUUCGCAUUAGAAAUACGCUUUUGUGAAUACGAAUUAAAAGUUAACGUCGUUUGGACAGUGAAGCGAUUUGACGCACAUUGCAAUUCGAAUUAUAAUUGACAUUUGGGCGUAAAACGUUUCGAAUGCGAAUUAAACUAAUUCGAAU